CUGCCAGUCGAGAUGCGGCAGAGGCAGACAGCUAGGCACAGAGGAGCCGAGUUGUAAACUUGGCUUUUCCUGAUGCUGCCUACUGUCGCGCAUACGAAGAACAUUACCUCUGGGUAGCCAGGAGCCGAGAUGCAGUCUGAAUGUGCACGGUGGCUUCUGACGUGGCAGCGUGAAUUCUCAGCUGGGCAGUUCAAAAGACACGUAUAGAAGCUCUCAUCUAUACUCUCAUCCACCUGGUUCCUACAAACACUGUCCUGCACCAUGACUGGAAGAAGAAGCAUUUGGAGGUUUCCCCAAGAAACUAGUUGGAAACAUUGAUUUAGAAGAACUGUGAGCUUUGACUUAAGGAAUAGGCCACUACUAUCCAGUCAAGAACUUCAGCAGGCUCUGGUCCCUGCUGACAGUUCCCUAGGUAAAUGAGUUAAGGAUAGACUACAGUCCUCCUUGUAGACAGAUGAAGAUGAGUUACAAGGUCAACUGCAAGAACAAACUAGAAACUUCUGGCACAAGGCAACAUGUCCAGACAGUCUCAGCAUUUGUUUCCAUAGACUUCUAUGUUGGGCACAGGAGGGGUCAAGGGGUGAUUUCACAUGAGCACU
This is a long non-coding RNA of Rattus rattus (black rat), 599 nucleotides long. RefSeq lists it as uncharacterized. The record is from RefSeq and is a predicted model, not a curated record. Lineage: Eukaryota; Metazoa; Chordata; Mammalia; Rodentia; Muridae. The transcript has 3 exons.